Molecule: ribosomal RNA, 468 nt
Filed under: uncultured bacterium
Lineage: Bacteria
Description: partial 16S ribosomal RNA
Rfam family: Bacterial small subunit ribosomal RNA
Source: RNAcentral
GACGAACGCUGGCGGCGUGCUUAACACAUGCAAGUCGAACGGAAAGGCCCUGCUUUUGUGGGGUGCUCGAGUGGCGAACGGGUGAGUAACACGUGAGUAACCUGCCCUUGACUUUGGGAUAACUUCAGGAAACUGGGGCUAAUACCGGAUAGGAGCUCCUGCUGCAUGGUGGGGGAUGGAAAGUUUCGGCGGUUGGGGAUGGACUCGCGGCGUAUCAGCUUGUUGGUGGGGUAGUGGCUUACCAAGGCUUUGACGGGUAGCCGGCCUGAGAGGGUGACCGGCCACAUUGGGACUGAGAUACGGCCCAGACUCCUACGGGAGGCAGCAGUGGGGAAUAUUGCACAAUGGGCGGAAGCCUGAUGCAGCAACGCCGCGUGCGGGAUGACGGCCUUCGGGUUGUAAACCGCUUUCGCCUGUGACGAAGCGUGAGUGACGGUAAUGGGUAAAGAAGCACCGGCUAACUACGUG